AUAACCACUAUGUGGCGUUAAAUUGCACGCUGCCGGUCGCCUGCGCCCCGAUCCUCCUUGCGCAUGAAAUCCGGCGUUUCUUUCAUAAUAAAAUGACGUCUCCUAACUGCAAUAUCAGCCUUGUGUUUGGGGAGCCGCAGAGGGUCGCUUCGCACACAUGCAGCAUGGGGACGGAGUGACUGAAAGCGUCUGAUGCGUUUCCGCUUCUAUGUGCCGGAGCAACACGGCAUGAUUGCAAAAGGCGCAACCACCGGAGAUAAAGGGAUCUUCUCCCCGUCCGCUGCCACAAUGAUCAGAUGUCUUUUUCGGGAGGACGGUUGCAAUACAUCCUUUUGACACACAAAUGGCGUCUGGUACGAGCGGCGGACUUGAUGAUUUGUACGUUUCGGAUGGAUGGAGAGGUGUGAGAGCCUCGGUAUGUGUUCGCAAAAAGGCAAAGAUACCUUUGGAUGGGGCGCCCAUGAAAUGUCUGCUUUUGCUAGAAAUGGUGGCACUUGUUUUGCAAUCGGCUCUCGCAGCGGAAGGGGAAGGUGCUUAUGAGGGAUCGGCCUCAACCUCCCUCCCCCCUGACUACACGCCAUCAGCGGGAUUGACCAAAUUGUUGGCUGGCGUUCUGCUGGUGGAGGAGGGACAGCUCGCCCGCAGCCGCGUCCAUCCAGCAGGGGCAGCAGAGAGCCUACGCGAGGAGCCAGCCUUUGCCUCUAUACUCACCAUGCUGGCAGGCUCUGUUGAAGGGCCCCAGACAUUAGUGCAGACACUGGCCUCCCCGGCUGGCUCUGGCAAUUACAAUGGAAACCAAACAAACCAAGAGCCUUCAGAAGAGCCAUUCAAGGGAGCUCAAUCUUCUGUCCCUUUGGUCACCAGCGUGUAUCCCGCCUACAGCUCAGACGAGACGGCGGUCUCCGGUUUGCCUCCGGCCACAGUGACGCCCGUUUCCUCGCCAAGCGAACUGGAUUCCACCCACCUGGAGCGUGGCCUGGCUUCGAUGGGCCCCAGCGAUUCGCUGCUUGUAGACCCCACAACCACAGAUGCCUCUGGGGCGCCGCCACACACCGUGACAGAUGGCUCCCCUGAAACGACCACCAUGACCAUCACGACCACGACCGCAGUCACGGAUGCCGUGAGGACCACCACCGUCAUCUCUGACACCACGACAUGGUUGGCCAGCACUACGCAGACCCACACAAGCAGGACUGAGGGGAAGGUCUUGGAGAAAACCACUAUGAAGACAACUACAACCGAUUUAACCUCCAUGCAGACCACAACAAGUGCCACACCACUGACUUUCACACCCACAAAGACCACAGUCAGUGUGUCCAACUCCUCCCUUACAGAGAGUCCCAUGCUGCAAUGCAACGUCACUGAGGAGAUGUGGGUGAAGACAGUGCUGUCCGUCCACUUCAGGGGGAAGAGGAUGGACGGUGCACUGAGACAGAACCUCCCGCGCGGGCUCAGCCGUGCGCUGCAGAAGGCGCUGAAUCUCAGCACCGUACAGGCUCAGAUCGGCAAUGUGAGCGGCACAUGGAACGUGACCGUGGGUUACUACGCGGUCAGCGGCUCCGCUGUCCUCACAGCGUCCACGGUGGCGGAGGCCCUGGCCGCGUACGGCGCCGACCGGCUGCUGGGGGACGUAAAGCAGGCAGUACCGCUGGUGCAGGCCAUACUGCUGGCCGGCGAGCCCUGGAGGCCACCGCCUGACGCCGCCCUGCUGGUGAAGACAGUUCUCAGGUUUGUGGGCCCAGGCGAUGACAUCACUUCCUGUGCUUUCGUCCAAAGCAUGGAGCAGAGGCUGGAGAGCGUCUUUACGGAGGCGCAGUCCAAAGUCCUCAAUAGCUCUGCUAAGCUUUCUGUUCAGAUCCUGGCUGCCUGGCAGCUGCCGUUGUCGCAGGCUGUGGCACUGACCUACGUGGUGAGGAAUGGCAGCGAGAGCCUCAACGGCACCGUCUCCAGCGGCCUCCUGGGGCAGCUCAGCGCUGAGCUGGUCGGCUACUUCCUGUUCUACCCUCCGCUGAGCAUCGCCGAGCCAUUACUGUACCACAACCUGAACACCUCCAUAGCCACCAAGGACUUCUGGGUAAUCACAGUGCUGCAAUACGUCGACAGCUCAUCUCUGGACGGCGGCUAUCAGAACUUUGCACGCUUAAUGGAACAGCGUUUGGCUCAGCUGUUUGUCAUCGCCCAGCAACAGGGGGCUCGCUUCCGGAGAGCCACCACCGUUGGGGGAUACACUGUGCAGAUGGUCGGAGUCCGGCGGGUCCCAGGGCCUAAAAACCCCGCUGAGAUGAUCUACUAUGCCCAGCUGCAAGGCCGCCCCCUGCUGGGCACCUCAGCCGCCAAGAUCCUCAACACGGUGGACUCCCAGACCAUGGCCCUAACGCUGGGCUAUUUUGUCCAGCUGCAGGCUGAGCCUGUGGUGAAAAGCCCUCCCAGCAACCUUUGGAUCAUCCCGGCGGUGCUGGUACCCAUCGCCGUGGUGAUGGUCAUCGUCCUCAUCAUCACGGCUGUGCUGUGCCGGAGGAACAGAGGGGAUUUUAAGGUGGAACUGAACCCUCGUACCAAGACAUCGUAUCGGAGGGACGCCAGUUUCUACCACCAGCCUGUGCAAGGGUUCGACUACGCCAAGCAACACCUCGGGCAGCAGGGCGGCAAUGAGGAAGCUGUUUCCGCAACCCAGGAAACCAUUGUCCUCCCCCUGUCUGUCCGGGAUGGCCCCCUGCUGCACCAGAAUGGAACUGCGUCCAAGAGGACCCUGCCCAAUGAGGUCCAUAGGAGCGAGGACGGUUCCGUCAUCAGCAGCGAAUCAGGGAAGGGCAACUCCUGCAGGGCCACAUCAGCGCAGAGGGUCCCAGCCCAGCAAAAGCCCCCUCGAGAAGAAGCACCCAAGAGGACUGAUCCAUACGGCUCCUCAGGCUCCCUGCAGCUGGUCUCUGUUCAGCCGGCUGCCCCCCCGCAGAGCUGUUCGCACCCGCCCUCCUCUGACCGCAGCCAGGACUCCAGCAUCCUUAAUGGGGAGGUGAACAUGGCCCUGAAGCAGAAGUCAGACAUUGAGCGCUAUAGGAACAAGCUGCGUCUCAAGGCCAAGCAGAGAGCUCACUGCGACCUACCCGCUGUGGAGAGCAGUGGCCGCUCCAGGGCUCACGGCCACCAGAGGGCGCCGCUGGAUGCCAGUCAGGGAUCCACAUACGUCAAGUCCAGUGCGAGGUGCUCCCAGCUGAGGAACCCCACCUACCGAAGCCGGCAGUCACUGAGCAGCCCCAGCCCCGGAACCAACGAGAUGGACCUGCUGGUGUUGGGGGAGCGUGGUGGACGGGGCAUCCGCAACAGCGGCUACGACACGGAGCCGGAGCUGCUGGAGGAGACCGACAUCGACCGCCUGAUGGGGCUGAUGGGAUACGCGGGGGGGCCGCCGCUCGCCGGCCACUCUGAGGCGUCCACCUUGAGCUCCCAGCCCUCCAUCGAUGAGGUGCGACAGCAGAUGCACCUGCUUCUGGAUGAGGCCUUCACCUUGGCCUCGUCCGGCCAUUCCACGGGUGGCGGCCGUCCCCAUGGCCCCCAGGGGCCCCAUGUGACCCACUCACGGCCCGGCCCGGGCUCCGAGGUGGUGACCAGCGCCCCGGGCUCCAUUGCCCGGCCCUGUGGAGAGCUGCACUGGGCCCCGGCCUACGCGCUCGACCUGUUCCCCUGCAGCCUCCCCAAGCCUGCUUUCCGCUUUACCCAGCUGCCUGACAUGGCUAUGGCGCCCCCCCCAGUACCCCCUCGGACAGGACACACUCCUGGGGCCUCGCUACUGCGUUCAACCUCGGACAUUGGGCCCAAGGCCAGGUCCUCGGAAUGCUCCAUGGCAGACAUGCACAGUGUGUACGACAGCGUCCGUGUGCCCAUGAGCCGGUCGCCUCUCCCAGGAGCCGCCGUCGAUCAGCAUGCAGCAAAUUACUCAGGAAACCCAAUCACAGCAGCUUAUGCCAGCCGGCCCUGCUGCUCAGGCUACUCGGCAGCCACGCCCCCCACUUCUUACAGGAGUCCGUCCUGGAUGUCAUACCCCCCGGAGCCAGAGGACCUUCCUCGCCAGUGGGCUGGCUCAAAUCAGUGUCACUUGGAGACUAUCUGCUGAGAGGGAUUCCUCAGAGGAUUCGUGUGGGUUCACCCAAGCAGCAGGUUGGUUGAGAAGAUGCCGGAAUACGGCCAAACACUGGCUUGCCUGCCCACUGAGAUUGCUGAACGCUUAUCCUUCUAAACUAAGCUGAUCGUAUUAUAAUAAGCUGUUCGGAUGCCUCUUUUCGAUUCGCUGACCCAGGCGACUGAGCUGGCUGGCUGCGAAUGGGAGCCACGAUGACAUUGGCAGGGCUUCCACUGCAAUUCUGGACAGGACCUUCACGAGGAGGACACCACAGUCACCGUGAAGCAAAUGGACGCACUUGAGCCCUGGGUCUGUGCUCCCUGCAAUGUGAUGGGAUCGAGGACCCAAACAUGGCCGACUUACUCAGGCACGGCAGGGCUGCCCGUAGAAGCGCCUGAAAUUCUCCUCACUGAACGACCUCGGAGGUCUCUGGAUCUACAAUUAAAAUUUUAUUUUAAAACUUUUUCCUUUUAGCUUUUCAUUAUGUGAAGUUUUAACAAAAGAAGUCUCUGCGACUGAAAGCGGGGCUCUUGAUGCCGUCCGAUCAGAAUCACGAGCAGACGUACCUCACAGAAUGGGUGCACGAUGGGGCUCCAUCUUCUGGAAUAUUCUCUGCUGGAAAUGGACAGGAGGGAGCCUGGAGUUACUUUGGGGACUGAAGGUGUACUGGUUACGUCUAACUGUGAGAUGCGAGUGCUGUGUGUGGUGUACAUGCGUGAGGAGUUACCCACAGCCUGCAGCGGAGGUAUGCAGCUGUUUAUAGAAAAAUGCGGACUGAUGCUUCUCACGUGUUUUUAAAUGGCCAUAGAGCCCCGUGUGAUAAACACGUCACACUCCAGCACAGUUUAUAUUAACCAGCCAUUCAAAGCACCCUGUUCCUCUGUAGCUCAAUUUAUGUUUCAUUAACUGGCUAACCAGGUUUGUGGGUUGAUAUACCGUCCAGAGAAUACUGCUGAUGUGUACCAUUCAAGACCAGAUUAUCUGUGAUAAGAUUAGUUAUCACUUAAACUGUGUAAAACCAAAAUGAGGAUAAUUUAAUCCCUCAGCGCUUUCUAACACUGGUGAGCUGCCUAUUUCCUCUGCGGCCUGAUUUUGGCGUUCGCUACAGUUUGGUGAGCAGUGCGUGUCUUUAUCGAGCCGGUAUUGUGCCGUGAUGCGGACGGGGUUGUGGUGAAGCUUGCAGCCGCCAUGUUCCUCUGUCGUUAUCGGUGGCUGUCUCUCUGUAUAUACCCCGUGCUUCUGCGUGUUUCACAUGCGUGUUCAGCUUCUGGGGGACCUAGACUGCUUAGCAAUCCGGGGAGGGCCAGAUCUGUCCUGCACACGGCAUGGGAUCUGCCGGAAGUGUUUUGCCUUUUUCUCUCUUCUGAAACAGGAUAGUCAAAGGCUGAAGGUGACUUUCUUAUUACUGAUUUAUUUUUUUGCACCUUGGAUGUAAGUGCAGAGAUGCUCUAUGGUUCCAUGCUUAACUAAGCCAUGUCUUAUCAACGUUCAGGCAUCUGCUGAAUGCCUAAAGUCUAUUUAAAAAUCUGUUUGAAUAAGCAGACUAUACACACAUCAGGUCACUUUGAAAGGUUUCAAAUUUCUAAAAAAUUGUACACAUUGUAAUAUAUAUGAUCAUAAACGUUUUUAUAUUUAAAACACUGCGGGAAUAAAUACUGAGCUGAAACAUCUGGAAACAUCUGAUAUGGAGAUUUUUUUUAACCUAAACACGUAUCUUCAGAGAUGCCUUGUAAUGUCUCGUGAAGCAACUGCUAAUGUGAUCCUGGUUUCAGCUCAGAAGGUAGCAGCUCAAACUGGCCACAUCUCUGCUGGCACAAGCUGAGAUUUUUAGCAACAAGAAAAGGGUGAUAAUAACUUAAGGUCUUCAUCACAAAGCAGACCGUCUGCCAUAAAUUACAUAUUUUCAAGCAGCUGGCAUGUAUCUUGGAGAAGAAAAUGCUUUUGAUGCAUGUAAUCAUGGACUCCUUGAUCUAAGGGCUUUUUGUAAGUGUGGUAUAGUAUGUUUUUGACAGGCUAGAACACCCAUAAUUCUUACAGUGAGGCACUACUUCAGUUACAGCGAACUGUGAAGGUCUUUUGUGAAAGUUUAUUUUAUUGUUAAAUCGUACUGUGACUCAUUAAUGAAUCUACUGAAAUGCACUUUAUCUCGGGAGCAUCCGGAGUGCUGGUGAUUUAGUCAGCGGGAAAAAUCAGGCUAGGGUGAUGAGGUUUGGAUGAAUCAGGGAAGGUUAGGCUUAGUUACGGUUGGUUAGUGUGACCUGAGGAUAGAAGAUUAUGGUGUGUGCAUGUGGAGAGACUGAGGCCAGAAGGUAUAAAGGUUCAGAGUUGGAGGUAGAUUCAUUGAUUCGGUUUGGUGUUUUUGAGUAUGACAGAAUUUCUUCAGAUUAAAAGCAUAAUCUGCAAAAUCAAUGCAAGUAUUGUUUAAUUUGCUUAUUUUUAAGGAUUUAAAAUAAAUCUUAAACACAAUCCCUUACGGCAAUGAGUUUCCAAUGCCUGAAACUCCAGAGAGUGUACUCCUUCAAUUGUGCAGUGCGUAAAAAUAGACACAUCAGAUUCUGGCAUAGAGCGUCACAGUAAUCAUGACAGAUGUAUUAAUCCACCUGCCCUCAAAUGUCUGUACUUACCCUGCUGUUUUAUGAUGGUGUUCGUCUCUGUCUGGACUCAUAAUACCCAUAGAACGUUCUAGUAGAACUGUUCUGUAUGAGUAGCACAUGAUUUUAUUUAUUUAUUUUUGAUUUAUGGAUGCACUUUUAUUUUUUUGCAUUCUGGAUUUUGCCAGUAUUGCAGGCUGUAGCUCUGGAUGUGCGCGAUACCACACGAGGCUCCUGCUCCAUCCUCUAGGUGGAGCUACAGGGAUGAGCCCCAGGGUAUAUCAGUAAAAACAUCAAAAAGUGCUCUCAUGUUCAGACAACCAGCCAAAGGAGGCCUCUCCAGCCAUUUCUGCACGCCACAUUGCUUUCAUCCAAAACAUCUGCAUUUUACUGGGAUGUUGUAUAGUACUUGUGUUUUCACAGCCUUGGGGAGGACUUUCCAACCCAUAAUAUGUGAAUAUGUGUAAAUGAGAAAAAUGGAUUUACUUGAAAUUAAGUGUUCCAAUACCUGUUGGUUUCUGGCAUGGUCGUUCUUUUGCUGAUGUUUAAACUUGCCACUUUACAGCCAUCGUAUGUACUGUAAAUUGAGAACCUCUUUCGUUUUAUAGAUGUUGACCAGUUUCAUUCGUGCGAAUAAGACUUCACUGUUGAGUUGUAUGUUUCGAAAAUAAAUCAGUAGAUCUCG
RNA transcript from Paramormyrops kingsleyae, 7393 nucleotides. It is a transcript of the gene named UPF0606 protein KIAA1549L-like, with no coding region annotated. Lineage: Eukaryota; Metazoa; Chordata; Actinopteri; Osteoglossiformes; Mormyridae. The record is from RefSeq and is a predicted model, not a curated record.